Molecule: ribosomal RNA, 475 nt
Filed under: uncultured bacterium
Lineage: Bacteria
Description: bacterial SSU rRNA
Rfam family: Bacterial small subunit ribosomal RNA
Source: RNAcentral
GGACGAACGCUGGCGGCGUGCUUCAUACAUGCAAGUCGAACGAGAAUCAAGAGCUUGCUCUUGAGGAAAGUGGCGGACGGGUGAGUAACACGUAGGGAAUCUGCCUUCAGGACGGGGACAACAGUUGGAGACGACUGCUAAUACCCGAUAUGGGCUGUAUUGAGAUAUACAUCUUGAAAAACUCCGGUGCCUGAAGAUGAGCCUGCGUCUGAUUAGCUGGUUGGCGGGGUAAAUGCCCACCAAGGCGACGAUCAGUAGCUGGUUUGAGAGGAUGAUCAGCCACAAUGGGACUGAGACACGGCCCAUACUCCUACGGGAGGCAGCAGUAGGGAAUUUUGCGCAAUGGGGGAAACCCUUGACGCAGCAACGCCGCGUGAACGAAGAAGCCCUUCGGGGUGUAAAGUUCUGUCAGUAGGGAAGAAUAAAUGACUGUACCUACAAAGGAAGCACCGGCUAACUCCGUGCCAGCCGCCGC